CAUACUGAUUGCCAAAAGGUUCCUGAUAGCUCCAGUAAUUUGUAAUUCUGGGUAACAGUCUAAUACCCAUAAUAAUAUUUAUGGCAAAAAAAAAUGCCCGUAUUUCUUCUAAGGCUGUGGGAAACCACAAACUAUCUUUUUUUUCCAGCUUGUUUACAUUCUGUGUAACGGUUUGUUUUCGCAAUGAUCACUUUAAACAAGCAUGCUGAAAAAAAAAAGUCUAGUGGUUUCGCUUCCUGAGAAAGUGAGUAGACGCUGUCUUCUCAGAAAAUUUGAUAAAAACAAUUUUUUAAGUUUUUACUCCAUUCUAGUGUAAAAUCAUCCUCGCUGUUGCUGCUUUCGGAUACAGAGAUAUCCGAUUCUCGUUCAUCACGUGCUUUUGUGCCUCAUUCAUUCUUUUUCUCAGUGUCUCCAUAUCUUCAGUUGAAAAACCUUCAAAUUCAGAAUCACUGCUUGAUAGCAUGAAAUUCCUCUCCCAAAAUUCAGCGAGUUCAAAUAUCAUACCAAACAAUGUUGGAUACAAUAACUCAACUAUUUACAAAGUGAAAUCAGGUGUUUUCACGAAUGUACUAACGAGAUUUGUGUUCAAAUUUACAUUUAAAUAACAAUGGGUACUCUUGGCCGGCCAGGUUAGUAUAGAAAGGGUUAAGGAUAUUGAAGGGAACUGGAUUUCUGAACAUGGUAGUCAUGUAUUUGAAUGAGGUGCAGUGAUCUACAAAAUGAU
Molecule: long non-coding RNA, 724 nt
Organism: Octopus sinensis (East Asian common octopus)
Lineage: Eukaryota; Metazoa; Mollusca; Cephalopoda; Octopoda; Octopodidae
Exons: 2
Source: RefSeq, a predicted model, not a curated record